RNAcentral lists this ribosomal RNA (1330 nucleotides) under uncultured bacterium. Its description in RNAcentral is "bacterial SSU rRNA". It matches the Rfam family "Bacterial small subunit ribosomal RNA", at positions 27 to 1381 of the family's 1533-position model. The record is from RNAcentral.
GGACGAACGCUGGCGGCGUGCCUAACACAUGCAAGUCGAACGGUCCGGCCGAAAGGCCGGAUAGUGGCGGACGGGUGAGCAACGCGUGAGCAACCUGCCUUAAAGAGGGGGAUAACACAGGGAAACCUGCGCUAAUACCGCAUAACAUGAAUUUUCCGCAUGGGAGAUACAUCAAAGGAGCAAUCCGCUUUAAGAUGGGCUCGCGUCCGAUUAGAUAGUUGGUGGGGUAACGGCCCACCAAGUCAGUGAUCGGUAGCCGGACUGAGAGGUUGAGCGGCCACAUUGGAACUGAGAGACGGUCCAGACUCCUACGGGAGGCAGCAGUGGGGGAUAUUAGGCAAUGGGGGAAACCCUGACCUAGCAACGCCGCGUGAAGGAAGAAGGUCUUCGGAUUGUAAACUUCUUUGACGAGGGACGAUAAUGACGGUACCUCGAAAACAAGCCACGGCUAACUACGUGCCAGCAGCCGCGGUAAUACGUAGGUGGCGAGCGUUGUCCGGAUUUACUGGGUGUAAAGGGCGUGUAGGCGGAAUGGCAAGUCAGAUGUGAAAUACGGGAGCUUAACUCCCGGGCUGCAUUUGAAACUGCUGUUCUUGAGUGAUGGAGAGGUAAGCGGAAUUCCCGGUGUAGCGGUAAAAUGCGUAGAUAUCGGGAGGAACACCAGUGGCGAAGGCGGCUUACUGGACAUUAACUGACGCUGAGGCGCGAAAGUGUGGGGAGCGAACAGGAUUAGAUACCCUGGUAGUCCACACUGUAAACGAUGGAUACUAGGUGUGGGGGGACUGACCCCUUCCGUGCCGGAGUCAACACAAUAAGUAUCCCACCUGGGGAGUACGGUCGCAAGAUUAAAACUCAAAGGAAUUGACGGGGACCCGCACAAGCAGUGGAGUAUGUGGAUUAAUUCGACGCAACGCGAAGAACCUUACCAAGGCUUGACAUCCUACUAACGAAGUAGAGAUACAUUAGGUGCCCUUUUAGGGAGAGUAGAGACAGGUGGUGCAUGGUUAUCGUCAGCUCGUGUCGUGAGAUGUUGGGUUAAGUCCCGCAACGAGCGCAACCCUUGUGGUUAGUUGCUACGGAAGAGCACUCUAACCAGACUGCCGUUGACAAAACGGAGGAAGGUGGGGACGACGUCAAAUCAUCAUGCUCCUUAUGUCUUGGGCUUCACACGUACUACAAUGGCGAGAAACAAAGGGCAGCGAACCCGCGAGGGUGAGCGAAUCCCGAAAAGUCGCCUCAGUUCAGAUUGCAGGCUGCAACCCGCCUGCAUGAAGACGGAAUUGCUAGUAAUCGUAGAUCAGCAUGCUACGGUGAAUACGUUCCCGGGUCU